This 274-nucleotide ribosomal RNA is filed under the name uncultured bacterium. Its description in RNAcentral is "partial 16S ribosomal RNA". It matches the Rfam family "Bacterial small subunit ribosomal RNA", at positions 523 to 796 of the family's 1533-position model. The record is from RNAcentral.
AUACGGAGGGUGCAAGCGUUGUUCGGAAUCACUGGGCGUAAAGGGCGCGCAGGCGGUUUGGUAAGUCAGACGUGAAAGCCCAUGGCUCAACCAUGGAAGUGCAUUUGAAACUGUCAGACUUGAGUACUAGAGGGGAAAGUGGAAUUCCCGGUGUAGAGGUGAAAUUCGUAGAUAUCGGGAGGAAUACCGGUGGCGAAGGCGACUUUCUGGCUAGAUACUGACGCUGAGGCGCGAAAGCGUGGGGAGCAAACAGGAUUAGAAACCCCGGUAGUCC